RNAcentral lists this ribosomal RNA (743 nucleotides) under uncultured bacterium. Its description in RNAcentral is "bacterial SSU rRNA". It matches the Rfam family "Bacterial small subunit ribosomal RNA", at positions 94 to 823 of the family's 1533-position model. The record is from RNAcentral.
AGCGGCGGAUGGGUGAGUAACACGUGGGGAACCUGCCCCUAAGUCUGGGAUACCAUUUGGAAACAGGUGCUAAUACCGGAUAAUAAAGCAGAUCGCAUGAUCAGCUUUUGAAAGGCGGCGUAAGCUGUCGCUAAGGGAUGGCCCCGCGGUGCAUUAGCUAGUUGGUAAGGUAACGGCUUACCAAGGCGACGAUGCAUAGCCGAGUUGAGAGACUGAUCGGCCACAUUGGGACUGAGACACGGCCCAAACUCCUACGGGGGGCAGCAGUAGGGAAUCUUCCACAAUGGACGCAAGUCUGAUGGAGCAACGCCGCGUGAGUGAAGAAGGUUUUCGGAUCGUAAAGCUCAGUUGUUGGUGAAGAAGGAUAGAGGUAGUAACUGGCCUUUAUCUGACGGUAAUCAACCAGAAAGUCACGGCUAACUACGUGCCAGCAGCCGCGGUAAUACGUAGGUGGCAAGCGUUGUCCGGAUUUAUUGGGCGUAAAGCGAGCGCAGGCGGAAAAAUAAGUCUAAUGUGAAAGCCCUCGGCUUAACCGAGGAACUGCAUCGGAAACUGUUUUUCUUGAGUGCAGAAGAGGAGAGUGGAACUCCAUGUGUAGCGGUGGAAUGCGUAGAUAUAUGGAAGAACACCAGUGGCGAAAGGCGGCUCUCUGGUCUGCAACUGACGCUGAGGCUCGAAAGCAUGGGUAGCGAACAGGAUUAGAUACCCUGGUAGUCCAUGCGUAAACGAUGAGUGCUAAGUGU